This 301-nucleotide ribosomal RNA is filed under the name uncultured bacterium. Its description in RNAcentral is "partial 16S ribosomal RNA". It matches the Rfam family "Bacterial small subunit ribosomal RNA", at positions 509 to 809 of the family's 1533-position model. The record is from RNAcentral.
CAGUCGCCGCGGGAAUACGAAGGGUGCAAGCGUUACUCGAAAUUACUGGGCGUAAAGCGUGCGUAGGUGGUGGUUUAAGUCCGUUGUGAAAGCCCUGGGCUCAGCCUGGGAAUUGCAGUGGAUACUGGGUCACUAGAGUGUGGUAGAGGAUAGUGGAAUUUCCGGUGUAGCAGUGAAAUGCGUAGAGAUCGGAAGGAACAUCUGUGGCGAAGGCGACUAUCUGGGCCAACACUGACACUGAGGCACGAAAGCGUGGGGAGCAAACAGGAUUAGAUACCCCCGUAGUCCCUGUCUCUUAUAA